UGUCUUCUAAAUAAAGACCCGUAUGAACGGCUAAAUGAAGAUUUAACUGUCUCCUUUAACUAAUCAGUGAAACUGAUCUUCCAGUACAAAAGCUGGAAUAAAACUAUAAGACGAGAAGACCCUGUGGAGCUUUAAACCUUACUCAAAAUAUGCUUUUUACAAAUAUUUAUGACCUUAAGUUUUAAGUUGGGGCGACUUCGGAGAAAAACUAAACCUCCGAGCACAAAGGCACCACCUAAACCAGAGGCCUACAAGCCAAAACCUACAUUGACCCAGUAAUACUGAUCAACGAACCAAGUUACCCCAGGGAUAACAGCGCCAUCUUCUUCAAGAGUCCCUAUCGACAAGAAGGUUUACGACCUCGAUGUUGGAUCAGGACACCCAAAUGGUGCAACCGCUAUUAAAGGUUCGUUUGUUCAACGAUUAAUAGU
RNAcentral lists this ribosomal RNA (431 nucleotides) under Anolis smallwoodi. Its description in RNAcentral is "partial 16S ribosomal RNA". It matches the Rfam family "Bacterial large subunit ribosomal RNA", at positions 1970 to 2594 of the family's 2925-position model. Lineage: Eukaryota; Metazoa; Chordata; Lepidosauria; Squamata; Anolidae. The record is from RNAcentral.